Molecule: long non-coding RNA, 198 nt
Organism: Dipodomys spectabilis (banner-tailed kangaroo rat)
Lineage: Eukaryota; Metazoa; Chordata; Mammalia; Rodentia; Heteromyidae
Exons: 3
Source: RefSeq, a predicted model, not a curated record
GAGAAAUAUGAUCAGAGGCCAGCAUGUGCUGCAUAGCAAGUUCAAGGCCAGCCGGUUCCACUUCAGCUAGCACUCUACCACUAGAGGCACAAUUGCACUUCUGGAUUUGUUGAUAGAACAAGAAAAGUGCCAGAAUGUGUAAACAACAACAACAACAAAACUCCAGCAAUGACAGGAUACAUUAUUUUUUGCAAAAGA